AAUUUCUGCUUUUGCUUAUACCAAGGUUGCAUGUUUUAGAUUUUAAGUGUUAUUCAUCUGCCAAAGCAUAGCAGUAGCUUAGUUUCAAAUCUCACUUCUCCUGAAGAAAACAAUGAAAGCAACAAGGAUAACAACAAAAGUAAAAGAGCAACACACAAACUAUGUCUUCAGUGGAGCAGAUAAAACUAUAUAAUUGAAUUCCUUAUGCUGAACUCACACACCAAGAAUGGUAACCACAAAGUGGGAAGUUGGUGUGGCAGAGAAAGGGGAACGUUGAGAGUCCAGGGUUCUAGAAUUCAAAGCAGAUACUCAUUAUUUAGAAGGAGCAGUC
RNAcentral lists this long non-coding RNA (331 nucleotides) under Bos taurus (domestic cattle). RNAcentral describes it as "long non-coding RNA NONBTAT006766". The record is from RNAcentral. Lineage: Eukaryota; Metazoa; Chordata; Mammalia; Artiodactyla; Bovidae.